GAUGAACGCUGGCGGCGUGCCUAAUACAUGCCAGUCGAGCGAACAGAUGAGGAGCUUGCUCCUCUGACGUUAGCGGCGGACGGGUGAGUAACACGUGGAUAACCUACCUAUAAGACUGGGAUAACUUCGGGAAACCGGAGCUAAUACCGGAUAAUAUAUUGAACCGCAUGGUUCAAUAGUGAAAGACGGUUUUGCUGUCCCUUAUAGAUGGAUCCGCGCCGCAUUAGCUAGUUGGUAAGGUAACGGCUUACCAAGGCAACGAUGCGUACCCGACCUGAGAGGGUGAUCAGCCACACUGGAACUGAGACACGGUCCAGACUCCUACGGGAGGCAGCAGUAGGGAAUCUUCCGCAAUGGGCGAAAGCCUGACGGAGCAACGCCGCGUGAGUGAUGAAGGUCUUCGGAUCGUAAAACUCUGUUAUUAGGGAAGAACAAAUGUGUAAGUAACUAUGCACGUCUUGACGGUACCUAAUCAGAAAGCCACGGCUAACUACGUG
This 497-nucleotide ribosomal RNA is filed under the name uncultured bacterium. Its description in RNAcentral is "partial 16S ribosomal RNA". It matches the Rfam family "Bacterial small subunit ribosomal RNA", at positions 28 to 507 of the family's 1533-position model. The record is from RNAcentral.